CACUCACUCUCUCUCUCUCUCUCUCGACAAUAAUAAUAAUAAUAAUAAUAAUAAAAAUAUGAACCGAGGUUUUCAUCGUGUACCCACCCACUUGUACCUACGACGAGUCGACGACGACGGAAAAAUAAAAAAAAAAUAAUAAUAAUAAUAAUAAUUGUAACGUCAAAUAGGUGUACACUACAGUGUAGUAACACUACACGGUACACGCACCACACACACACACAUACGUACGUACGUACGUACUAUAAACGCAGCAAUACGUACGUGCACGCAAAAGUACACGCGCACGCGAGUGUUUUUGUUGUCCUUUGACCGAAUCGUACGCGUCGUCCAAAUUACGCGGUAAAAUACGCCAACAGAUAAAUCGUGACGACGGCAGGCCCGCGCAUAGACAACGGUCGUGCGUAAACACCAUUACACUUCGUUGUUUUUUUUUUUUUUUUCGUCCUCCCCCCCCCCGGAAAUUCAUGGAUAAGUGUGUAUUAUUAUUAUUAUUAUUAUAAUAUACAGUGUACCAUUUAUAAUAUAUUAUAUUAUUAUAAUUAUAUCGCGAGUCGACACAAUCACUGCGGUACGCCGACGCUGCCGCCUUUGCCGUCGUCGCGUUCGCGAACACCACCACCGGCCGUCGGCCGAUUUAUUCUUUUUUCGGCUCUUCGUCCGCCGCCGUGUACGCACAACUACCGCGCAAUAACAAUAUCGUAGUUCUGCCAGUUAUCCCUCGACAACGGCCCGCUGAAACGCCCGAAAGGCCGAAUCCUAGUGGCGCCCCUCCAAGUUUCUGUUGCCCGCCUACCCGUCAAUCCGCCGCCGUCACCGUUUGUACACGAGAGCCUGACAACUCGACGCCGCGGUCGUCCACACGGUGUCGCGCGCCUUCGCCAGUACUCGGUUGCGUAAAAGGUCGAAUUCGGUAUGGUGACGGUUACCGCCACUGCCGUCGCUUCAGUAGUAAGUGGUUGUCGCCGCC
Molecule: non-coding RNA, 970 nt
Organism: Cinara cedri
Lineage: Eukaryota; Metazoa; Arthropoda; Insecta; Hemiptera; Aphididae
Source: the annotation of a GenBank genome assembly